Non-coding RNA from Cyanistes caeruleus (blue tit), 5480 nucleotides. The record is from RefSeq and is a predicted model, not a curated record. NCBI's taxonomy places the organism in Eukaryota, Metazoa, Chordata, Aves, Passeriformes, Paridae.
UCAGCUUUUUUUAGUGGUCCAGGUGCCUCAGCAAUUUUUGUGACUCAGCAAUUUUCAAUAUUUCAAGUUGCUAUUUCCCUUAUUUUCUGUAAAACUGGGUCCUCCCUUCUGACCUUGGCAUGCCAAAAAAGCAACUGAAAGCCUUCUAAGAGUUACAGGUACUGAGGAGAGGAGGUUGGGGCACAGUGAAAGGAGGUGAGAAAGAACUUCAGAUACUGCUGGGAAGUGUUUCUCCUGUAGCCCUGGAGGAACACUUGGAAGUGGAGUGGUGGAUGUGAGGAGGAGACAGCAUUCAGUUGAAUGGGAGCAUGAGGAACGCAGGACAUAAAUCCAUUGGCAUACAGCCUUUGUAGGCAAGCAGAUUUGGCAGAGCAAAUUGGGUUACCUCUUGACCUCUUUUUUGUUUCCUCCCCAGCAGGUUGGAAGUAAACCUUUCUAAAGAAAGUUCCUAGGCAAGACAAGGUUAACAUGAGAAGAGAGUAUCUGAGGAGGAAUUAUAUAGCUCUCCUUUGCUCUAGCCUACCUUAAGAGGCCAAACAUCACAGAAUCGUUUGUGCUAUAAAGGACCUCCUGCUAAAAAGUGUCUGUCAGGCUCCAGGUCACAGGGGAAGGUGCCUCCUAUCAGCUUCUUUCCGUAAUUCAGAAGGGUAAGUAUCAGCAAUGCCAGUCAAGGUAGGGGAGGAAGGUGUUCCCUUUGCUUCAGAAAUUCCUGUAAGAAGACUUCUCAGUGCCCCACAGGUGGAUGGCUCAGGCACAGUCUAGGAAUGUAUUCUUCCACUCUGGAUGAAGAGAAACCACUAUGGAUGUUAACCCGAAGUAUUUGCUCCCUUAUCUAUUCUAUAUGAAUUUUCAGGUGCCGGUGGUUGUGGCAGGCCAGCUCUAGAUCCAUAACUCCUCACAUAUACAGGUAUGAGGAAGGUUCAUACAAGAGCUGUAACUUGUAACAUUUAUGGCUGAACAGUACCAUUAGGAGUCCUCUGAAGCCUGGAAAGCAGCUUAGAAUCUUCACUGUCUGCUUCUGUCUUCCUCUGAUUCUUACAGUUAUCCUGUGAGUGGCUGAUGUGGGCUUGCUGGAUGUUCCAUAUAACAAAGAAUUUUUUACCCAAAAUCCCACGUCCCACCUAAGAACCUUUGGGAGACAUUUCUACUCCUCGCAUUUUCUGUAUGUUUUUAAUAAGGGUUGUGUGAUUUUGUGACCUCUGCUGCCUGCCUGCCUACCUGUCUCUGCUUCUGGAUCAAAGCAACAAUGCCAGCAUCACCACUAAAUGAAGGAGCCUGCAAGGAACUGUGAGGAUCUGAGGGACACGUUCCCAUACAUGAAGUCUGGCAAUCCUAGCCAUAUGUCUCAGAGUUCCUCCUGGUUGCUUCCAGUUAACAAGCUUUUGGUGCAGUGCAAAAACUUGUUAUUCUUUAUUGCACUUAGCAGUUAAAUUUUGACCCAUAGCUACCAUUCCAGCUAUUUUUUUGCUCUGACAUUGCCUCUCAAGUUGUUUAAUCAGAAAAUUUCAUUAGUGUACUUUGACUUUUGUGCCAAAAAAUUACGUUUAAUUUGUCUUGGGAAAGUGUUUUGAGGAAUGCCACCAGUAAAAUCCAUCCAGCCCAAUGACUUCCCAUUUGUCAUUUCCGCUUUUAGCUACUUUCAUUCUUGGCAUACAGUUCUUGCAGCUACUAAUUGUUUCCCAUGUGACAUCAUUCCAAGUGCUUUGCUAAAGUCCAGAGGGAAUAUAUCCCCCGGAUUUUUGUCAGGUUGACAAGCUGGUUUACCUGAUUAGGUAGUACAAUUAAUACUCUGACAUGUUCUACUUUGGGACUUUUCACUGUCCCCACUUUUCUUUAUAUCACAGUUUGCUAUGAUUCUUGUGUGCUUUUCUGGAAAAAAGAACAGGUAGACAGAUGUUUUCCAAAGAAGUACCUGAACAUUCUCAUACUCCAUCUGUCUGGAUGCAUCAUGAUGCACAUAAAAUUAACCAUUCUGUUAGAAGUACCUAAACAUCAGAGAAUGACCUGCCUCCCCAGUCCAGGUGGGAAGGAGAGAUGUUUGCUGCAAUCAGUUUAUUUAAAAAGCUCAGAAGUUAAUAAUCAUCCUGUCUUUUGUCACUGAUUAGUGACUUAUAAGAACCAGGCUUGGCUAAUAGAAAAUUGCCAUAAAUAGUAUAAGAACACAAGGAUGGAUUUAUUUAGACAGAAGAAUAUCACUCAUCAGACUUGGAGAAGAGGAAAGGCAGCAAGCAAGUCCAAUUGACAAAAUGUGGUGAAGUGAAUGGUCACAUCUGCAUUCAUUAGCAAAAUUGGGUGGUGCAAAGGUGUUGUCACCCAGUUCUGGUUUCCACAGGUCAUUGGGGGCCUGUCUCUUAGAAAGGCUCCUGACAAGGCAGGCAUGACAACCAGAUAAUGAAUGCUUUGAAGAACAUAAGAAGUUUCACUUUGCUUCAAUCCUUUGGGAUCACAGAAGAGAUACAGAUAAAGGUAAAAAUAAAAUUUUUCAAUUGUGCCACCAGUUUUAGAUGAAUUACACUGAUGGCACUUUGUGAUUCAUUCAUGAAGUGUGACAUCCUUUGGGAAGUACUUGGAUUAUGAUCUGUAUGCCCUGUUGGAUCGUAGAAACUCUAAGGAUAUCUUUAUCCCAUUUCAUGCCCUAUUUACCAUCAGUCACUCUGCCCAUCCUUUUUCAGGAAUCUUCCUGUGAUGGCAUGGUCUAGCUAAAGUUCUGAUUGUCUCUAUGUCUCAGAAGAGCAAAUGAUGUUUUGUUGCUAUUAUUUUCUGUCUUCUAAGAUAAUAUGUUGGCAUGCAACUCUCUGUUGAAACUACCAUGAAUCCUCACAACCAGGUUCUAAUUCUAGCCCUGAAUCUAUGGAAAAUUUCUCAUCCUCUAGAUGAUUUUUUCUACCUGUGUUUGCAGGCAGACAGUUCCAGUACCAGAAGUGUCCUUGUUAAGUGUUCUGCUGGUAGUACAGAAAUGCAUAACCACAAAACCAGUUUCAUUCCAAAGAGCCAUUCCUUGCUUAGGAACAUGGCUCUUAGGGCAGAUGUCUUCAACAGAGGUAUGGAGGCUUCAACCACUUAAUUCUUUCCAGAUUCAGGAAUUUUUUCUCCUCUGCAGUUUUUGAGAUAAAUCAAGGAAAAAAUUGUAGUUCCAACUUACAUUAUGGAAAUCUUCUUCACUCUGUCCUGAAAUAAUUCCCAAGCAGGCCUGUCAGAUCUCAGCUAUCUGAAAAUAACUUCUGACAUUUUCAAGAUUGUGUUCUGGGUAAAUAGCCUCAUUUGUGUAUGAAAUGCUUAUGAAAUUGUACCUCUACUGUAUACCAGAGAUAUGAUAUUAUUUAUGUCUGCUUUGCUAAUUUUACCUGGACAUAGGAGUCAUACCCUCUGUUCUCUUAGUGUUAGUUAAUGUGUUGACUAUCCUGUUACCAUUAAAUUUCUCUUCCUGGCACAUAGCAGGGGACAGCCCUUAAAAUCAUCUGCAUAUUCCAAGUGUGUAUUCUUUAUGGACAACUUCUUAUUAAUAUUGCUGUGUUGAAUGCUAGCUGUUACGUUGAAAGUCUUCCUCAUCACACUAAUGGCUUUACCGUCUUCUAUCAUUGUAGUAAACAUGACAGUGAUACUUCAUAUACAAUAAGGAAUAGAUACACUUAUAUUUGCAGGUUCUGGAUAUCAGGGGAAAUACUAUUUUUAGUACAAUAUUGCUGUAUAUUUUCUGUUGUAGAAAGUGACAGGGAGUUUCUGAAGAGGAAUUAUGCACAGGAAAGGAUAUCCUUGCCUCAAACAAAGUGAAAGCAUAAUCCCAGAAGUCUUCUCUGAGUGUUAGACAUCUGUCCAGUGUUUUUCUACUGUGCAUUUAAUUGAUCGCAAGGGUCAUCAAUAAUCUUUGCCAGGAUUACAUUAAUUCUAAUUGAACUCCCAAUCCCAAAUCUGAGAUCUUUCCAUUGUUUAUUCACAGAUGUGCUGUCUUGAAAGCAGUUGUGUCACAAAAUCACAGACUAUACACUGGAAAUGACACUUGGAGAAGGAAAGAAUUUAAUCCAAUUCUCUGCUCAAAGCAGGGCUGACUCUGGAGUUAGAUCAAGGUACUAAGGGUUAUUUGAUGUCUCAGGAUUAUGUGCUGUCUUGUAGCUAGUUCCUCAAGCUUAGAUAAGUCAGUACACAAGAUCAUUAUCUCUGGGAGCACUGGAGAAUUGGUACGUACUUAUCUGAAGUAUAGGUGGAAGUAUCAUCAUAUGUGUUGGUGCAAAGCUUGUUAGAAUAUACCAGGGGCUGUGGUAUUGAUAUCUCUGGACUUGACAUGCAUGCCCUAGAGAAAUAGUAUCCUUACAGUGCUUCAAGGAUUCACCUUUGUCCCUUUUCUGUGCAUUACUUAGAUAAAAAUAAAUGAAUCUUAGAAUAAGUCUCGAUUCUCACUUGAGGGCACCAGCAUUGGGAUCUGCAUGACACUGACUGGAUUCAUCUGUCUUGCCAGGAGGCUCUAUUCAGCCUGCAGUAUUUUUAAGGAAGUGGAAGGUCAUGGUGAAGUCUCAGUCUUUACCUGAGCAGGGCCUGUUCAAUGAAUACUCAUUGAAAGUGAAGAAAAUCUAGAGAACUCUAUUUGCUUUUCCCACCACAGAUGAAGGAGCGGGCUCCUAGUGAAAGUAUGGAUGGAACAGGAUUUCCAAGAGGUAUUUGAAGAGGAGAGAUGAGGAGCUACUUCUGGGUGAACUGGUCAACCAUACCCCCUUUUGAUGCUUCACUGACAGAAGGGCUUUGGCAUUGGGAAGGCAGCCAUGCAGUGGGGCAUGAGUGGUAGUCACAUCUCUUUCCACCUCCACCCAGCAAAGCAAGAGCCACAGUCAUGUUUGUACAAACUCACCAGCAAAGGAAUGGGCUGGUUCCGAGCCCAGUCCAGUCCAGUCCACAACAAGAGAAUCAACCCUCCAGUAGACUUCAAACAGUCCACACAAUUAUUGCUUUUCAGCCCAGUCAGUAUUUCUAAUUCUCUAAAGAAGGGCUACUAACAUUUGGAAAGUCUCUGCACGCAAGGUCUUUCCAAACAUUCGAUUCUGAUUUCCCUUGGUCUGGAAAUCAUUUUAGAUGUGCCAGCUGGGACUGAGCCCCUGGGCUGAUUCCAGCACCUGUGCCAAUUCCAGCACCUAUGCCUUGUUCUAUGUCAAAGUGAGCUAGCUGAGCCUGUGGGACACUAUAGUGUGCCCUGACGCAGGUGGUGCUUGGAAAGGUGCUGCCGGACUUCUGCAAGGAGCUGGAAAACAACAGUGUCAGAGCUGAGUGGUUUCCAGUCCUUCGGAUGUUUAUUUCCUGAUAACAGAUCCUGCCAUCAAAACUAGCACUGAUCAAACUUCAGACAGAAGACUCUGAAUGACUUCAGCAACAGCUGGACUUACAAAGGUCUGAAAUGACUGAAAUUUUCUUGUAAAAUGAAAAAAAUGAGCCACUUACUUGUAGAAUAUUUUCUCUCCUUUUCUUGAUAUUAUUAGAUUUGGCAGUGAAUAAGA